This 505-nucleotide ribosomal RNA is filed under the name uncultured bacterium. Its description in RNAcentral is "partial 16S ribosomal RNA". It matches the Rfam family "Bacterial small subunit ribosomal RNA", at positions 28 to 507 of the family's 1533-position model. The record is from RNAcentral.
GACGAACGCUGGCGGCGUGCCUAAUACAUGCAAGUAGAACGCACAGUUUAUACCGUAGCUUGCUACACCAUAGACUGUGAGUUGCGAACGGGUGAGUAACGCGUAGGUAACCUGCCUGGUAGCGGGGGAUAACUAUUGGAAACGAUAGCUAAUACCGCAUAAUAUUAAUUAUUGCAUGAUAAUUAAUUGAAAGGUGCAAUUGCACCACUACCAGAUGGACCUGCGUUGUAUUAGCUAGUAGGUGAGGUAACGGCUCACCUAGGCGACGAUACAUAGCCGACCUGAGAGGGUGAUCGGCCACACUGGGAAUGAGACACGGCCCAGACUCCUACGGGAGGCAGCAGUAGGGAAUCUUCGGCAAUGGACGAAAGUCUGACCGAGCAACGCCGCGUGAGUGAAGAAGGUUUUCGGAUCGUAAAGCUCUGUUGUAAGAGAAGAACGGGUGUGAGAGUGGAAAGUUCACACUGUGACGGUAUCUUACCAGAAAGGGACGGCUAACUACGUG